GUCAAGUUACAAAGGGCUCACGGUGGAUACCUAG
RNAcentral lists this ribosomal RNA (34 nucleotides) under uncultured cyanobacterium. RNAcentral's name for it is "partial 23S ribosomal RNA". Lineage: Bacteria; Bacillati; Cyanobacteriota. The record is from RNAcentral.